UGACGGGUGGUCCGUAGGACAACCCUUAAAAGGCUUAACAUAACGCACAUUCUACAUUUUAUCCGGUUAUUUGUAUUUUAUAGAUGGCUAUGACCCGAAGCGUGUAAUAAAAGACCGGGUUAAAUCCUUCGCUACCACAUAUAUAUUCCUUUUCCUACCCUUGCACCUAGCCCCGUUACAACCCGUAAGUUUCCUUGAUUUAAAAGCAUGCUAGACAUUUGUUAGGAGGCAACUUGAUUUUCAUACAAGCUUAUUGUCGCACACACACAUAUACGCAUUGAGUGGUUUAGCAUAACUUGCUAAUUUUUCUUGUCACCGAGAGUUUGUGAGGGGUGUGUCUUGUGGUUUGAUAAAAAGCUAGUAAAAGGAUGGCACUUUGGUUUGGUUUGCAUGAUUGGUCGCUUAUGGUUAAAAACAGUUUUUGAAGUGGUUGCUUGGGACAAGCAACGGGUAAGUGUGGGGAUGUGACGGGUGGUCCGUAGGACAACC
RNAcentral lists this long non-coding RNA (489 nucleotides) under Helianthus annuus (common sunflower). Its description in RNAcentral is "hypothetical non coding rna". Lineage: Eukaryota; Viridiplantae; Streptophyta; Magnoliopsida; Asterales; Asteraceae. The record is from RNAcentral.